UACAGAGGGGGCAAGCGUUGUUCGGAAUUACUGGGCGUAAAGGGCGCGUAGGCGGCCCGCUAAGUCGAACGUGAAAUCCCCGAGCUCAACUCGGGAACUGCGUCCGAUACUGGUGGGCUUGAAUCCGGGAGAGGGAUGCGGAAUUCCAGGUGUAGCGGUGAAAUGCGUAGAUAUCUGGAGGAACACCGGUGGCGAAGGCGGCAUCCUGGACCGGCAUUGACGCUGAGGCGCGAAGGCUAGGGGAGCAAACGGG
This 253-nucleotide ribosomal RNA is filed under the name uncultured bacterium. RNAcentral's name for it is "partial 16S ribosomal RNA". It matches the Rfam family "Bacterial small subunit ribosomal RNA", at positions 524 to 776 of the family's 1533-position model. The record is from RNAcentral.